UACGAAGGGGGCUAGCGUUGUUCGGAAUUACUGGGCGUAAAGGGCACGCAGGCGGUGCGGCGCGUUUCGCGUGACAGCGGAGGGCUUAACUCUCCGAGGAUGCGAAAGACGGCGGCACUUGAGGGCCAGAGAGGGACACGGAAUUCCGGGUGGAGUGGUGAAAUGCGUAGAGAUCCGGAGGAACACCGAAGGCGAAGGCAGUGUCCUGGCUGGUGACUGACGCUGAGGUGCGAAAGCUAGGGGAGCGAACGGG
Molecule: ribosomal RNA, 253 nt
Filed under: uncultured bacterium
Lineage: Bacteria
Description: partial 16S ribosomal RNA
Rfam family: Bacterial small subunit ribosomal RNA
Source: RNAcentral